AGAACGAACGCUGGCGGCAGGCCUAACACAUGCAAGUCGAACGCCGUAGCAAUACGGAGUGGCAGACGGGUGAGUAACACGUGGGAACGUACCCUUCGGUUCGGAAUAACUCAGGGAAACUUGUGCUAAUACCGGAUACGUCCGAAAGGAGAAAGAUUUAUCGCCGAGGGAUCGGCCCGCGUCUGAUUAGCUAGUUGGUGAGGUAACGGCUCACCAAGGCGACGAUCAGUAGCUGGUCUGAGAGGAUGAUCAGCCACAUUGGGACUGAGACACGGCCCAAACUCCUACGGGAGGCAGCAGUGGGGAAUAUUGGACAAUGGGCGCGAAGCCUGAUCCAGCCAUGCCGCGUGAGUGAUGAAGGCCCUAGGGUUGUAAAGCUCUUUUACCUGGGAAGAUAAUGACGGUACCAGGAGAAUAAGCCCGGCUAACUUCGUGCCAGCAGCCGC
Molecule: ribosomal RNA, 446 nt
Filed under: uncultured bacterium
Lineage: Bacteria
Description: SSU rRNA
Rfam family: Bacterial small subunit ribosomal RNA
Source: RNAcentral